RNAcentral lists this transfer RNA (76 nucleotides) under Helicobacteraceae bacterium. RNAcentral's name for it is "tRNA-Ala". It matches the Rfam family "tRNA". Rfam says of the family: Transfer RNA (tRNA) molecules are approximately 80 nucleotides in length. Their secondary structure includes four short double-helical elements and three loops (D, anti-codon, and T loops). The record is from RNAcentral. Lineage: Bacteria; Pseudomonadati; Campylobacterota; Epsilonproteobacteria; Campylobacterales; Helicobacteraceae.
GGGGAUAUAGCUCAGAUGGGAGAGCGCUUGCAUGGCAUGCAAGAGGUCGGCGGUUCGAUCCCGCUUAUCUCCACCA